GUAGUUAGCCGGGGCUUUCUUACAGGGUACCGUCACUUCUUCGUCCCCUGCGACAGAGGUUUACAAUCCGAAAACCUUCUUCCCUCACGCGGCGUUGCUGGGUCAGGCUUGCGCCCAUUGCCCAAUAUUCCCCACUGCUGCCUCCCGUAGGAGUCUGGACCGUGUCUCAGUUCCAGUGUGGCCGAUCAGCCUCUCAGCUCGGCUACCCAUCGUCGGCUUGGUGGGCUGUUAUCUCACCAACUAUCUAAUCAGACGCGAGCUCAUCUUUCAGCGGAUUGCUCCUUUGGUAUCAAGAAGAUGCCAUCUCGAUACAUUAUGCGGUAUUAGCGACCGUUUCCAGUCGUUAUCCCCCUCUGAAAGGCAGAUUGCUCACGCGUUACUCACCCGUCCGCCACUAAGCACAAAACCGAAGUAAGUGUGCUCCGUUCGACUUGCAUGUGUUAGGCACGCCGCCAGCGUUCAUCCUGAGCCAGGAUCAAACUCUGA
This 486-nucleotide ribosomal RNA is filed under the name uncultured bacterium. RNAcentral's name for it is "partial 16S ribosomal RNA". The record is from RNAcentral.